This 444-nucleotide ribosomal RNA is filed under the name uncultured bacterium. RNAcentral's name for it is "bacterial SSU rRNA". It matches the Rfam family "Bacterial small subunit ribosomal RNA", at positions 28 to 492 of the family's 1533-position model. The record is from RNAcentral.
GACGAACGCUGGCGGCGUGCUUAACACAUGCAAGUCGAACGGAAAGGCCCUUCGGGGUACUCGAGUGGCGAACGGGUGAGUAACACGUGGGUGAUCUGCCCUGCACUCUGGGAUAAGCCUGGGAAACUGGGUCUAAUACCGGAUAUGAUCAUACGCCUCAUGGUGUGUGGUGGAAAGCUUUUGCGGUGUGGGAUGGGCCCGCGGCCUAUCAGCUUGUUGGUGGGGUAAUGGGCCUACCAAGGCGACGACGGGUAGCCGGCCUGAGAGGGUGACCGGCCACACUGGGACUGAGAUACGGCCCAGACUCCUACGGGAGGCAGCAGUGGGGAAUAUUGCACAAUGGGCGCAAGCCUGAUGCAGCGACGCCGCGUGGGGGAUGACGGCUCGGUGUAACGUACUUUCAGUACGACGAACGCGUAAGUGACGUAGGUACGAGAAGAAGAC